GAUGAAUAACGUAGUGAAAUGCGAUACGUAAUGUGAAUUGCAGAAUUCAGUGAAUCAUCGAAUCUUUGAACGCACAUUGCGCCCGCCAGUAUUCUGGCGGGCAUGCCUGUUCGAGCGUCAUUUCAACCAUCAAGCCCCCGGCUUGUGUUGGGGACCUGCGGCUGCCGCAGGCCCUGAAAACCAGUGGCGGGCUCGCUGUCACACCGAGCGUAGUAGAUUUUCAUCUCGCUCAGGGCGUGCUGCGGGUUCCGGCCGUAAAAAGCCUUAUUUACCCAAGGUUGACCUCGGAUCAGGUAGGAAGACCCGCUGAACUUAAGCAUAUCAAUAAGCGGAGGA
RNAcentral lists this unclassified non-coding RNA (336 nucleotides) under soil metagenome. RNAcentral describes it as "partial contains 5.8S ribosomal RNA, internal transcribed spacer 2, and large subunit ribosomal RNA". The stretch from base 1 to 120 matches the Rfam family "5.8S ribosomal RNA", at positions 35 to 154 of the family's 154-position model. The record is from RNAcentral.